Canis lupus familiaris (dog) is the source of this 764-nucleotide long non-coding RNA. RefSeq lists it as uncharacterized. The record is from RefSeq and is a predicted model, not a curated record. The transcript has 4 exons. Lineage: Eukaryota; Metazoa; Chordata; Mammalia; Carnivora; Canidae.
UUCCCAGGGCCAGUGCUGUGGACCUGGGCCCUGUUCUGGGCACAGUCCCUGCGUGUACCUGCAUUCUGCAUGUGACCUCGGGCUCGGCCCCUCUGUCUCUGGCUUCCGAGGGACCCUGAGACCCCCAGGCCCAGCUGCCCCAAGCCUGGAUUCCUGACCUAAGAAACUGUGAGGGAGAGUGGGAAUUAGGUUAUGGCCUCCCAUCACCCGGCGCCACAGUCCAGCUGCAAGGCCGUGGAGAGAGCGGGGUCCCAGCACGGCCCCUUGUCACCAUACUCGGCUGCUGGAAGCCCUACGGGAAUCUUGAGAGCUGGUUGUUAAGCACAGCCACAGAAGCUCACCACGAAAUGCGUUGUAUGACAAACAGCCUCCUCUCUGAGGGAGAACCUUCCGGCAAGCCCUGGCCAGGUACGAUGAAGGAGCCGCUUCCGAGGGGGCACACUCCGGUCCCUGCAGGUUCAGGCCAGACUAGAUGCCUGGGAAUUUGAUCUUCACACCGGGGCGGUGGGAAUGGAUGAGCCUCCCUGUGGACCCUCCUCUGCUCUGGGGGACGCGGGGAGGUCACGGGCUGUGACCUGGGAGCUGACAUCUGUCCCUCUCCCCACUGCUCACCACCAACAUGGCCAGCUGUCAGGGUCGAACUGCUGCCGGCUGGGUCAUGCCUGGUGCCCCUGCUGAGACCCAGGGCAUCCUUGCACCAGGGGCACCGCCUCUGAGGGAUGCGGGCUCCCUGCCUGGGAGCGCUCACCACCCCGGACGGGGCU